RNAcentral lists this ribosomal RNA (1267 nucleotides) under Salmonella enterica subsp. enterica serovar Typhimurium. RNAcentral describes it as "partial 23S ribosomal RNA". It matches the Rfam family "Bacterial large subunit ribosomal RNA", at positions 1693 to 2925 of the family's 2925-position model. Lineage: Bacteria; Pseudomonadati; Pseudomonadota; Gammaproteobacteria; Enterobacterales; Enterobacteriaceae. The record is from RNAcentral.
AGAGAACUCGGGUGAAGGAACUAGGCAAAAUGGUGCCGUAACUUCGGGAGAAGGCACGCUGACACGUAGGUGAAGUGAUUUACUCAUGGAGCUGAAGUCAGUCGAAGAUACCAGCUGGCUGCAACUGUUUAUUAAAAACACAGCACUGUGCAAACACGAAAGUGGACGUAUACGGUGUGACGCCUGCCCGGUGCCGGAAGGUUAAUUGAUGGGGUCAGCGCAAGCGAAGCUCCUGAUCGAAGCCCCGGUAAACGGCGGCCGUAACUAUAACGGUCCUAAGGUAGCGAAAUUCCUUGUCGGGUAAGUUCCGACCUGCACGAAUGGCGUAAUGAUGGCCAGGCUGUCUCCACCCGAGACUCAGUGAAAUUGAACUCGCUGUGAAGAUGCAGUGUACCCGCGGCAAGACGGAAAGACCCCGUGAACCUUUACUAUAGCUUGACACUGAACAUUGAGCCUUGAUGUGUAGGAUAGGUGGGAGGCUUUGAAGUGUGGACGCCAGUCUGCAUGGAGCCGACCUUGAAAUACCACCCUUUAAUGUUUGAUGUUCUAACGUGGACCCGUAAUCCGGGUUGCGGACAGUGUCUGGUGGGUAGUUUGACUGGGGCGGUCUCCUCCUAAAGAGUAACGGAGGAGCACGAAGGUUGGCUAAUCCUGGUCGGACAUCAGGAGGUUAGUGCAAUGGCAUAAGCCAGCUUGACUGCGAGCGUGACGGCGCGAGCAGGUGCGAAAGCAGGUCAUAGUGAUCCGGUGGUUCUGAAUGGAAGGGCCAUCGCUCAACGGAUAAAAGGUACUCCGGGGAUAACAGGCUGAUACCGCCCAAGAGUUCAUAUCGACGGCGGUGUUUGGCACCUCGAUGUCGGCUCAUCACAUCCUGGGGCUGAAGUAGGUCCCAAGGGUAUGGCUGUUCGCCAUUUAAAGUGGUACGCGAGCUGGGUUUAGAACGUCGUGAGACAGUUCGGUCCCUAUCUGCCGUGGGCGCUGGAGAACUGAGGGGGGCUGCUCCUAGUACGAGAGGACCGGAGUGGACGCAUCACUGGUGUUCGGGUUGUCAUGCCAAUGGCACUGCCCGGUAGCUAAAUGCGGAAGAGAUAAGUGCUGAAAGCAUCUAAGCACGAAACUUGCCCCGAGAUGAGUUCUCCCUGAGACUUAGAGUCUCCUGAAGGAACGUUGAAGACGACGACGUUGAUAGGCCGGGUGUGUAAGCGCAGCGAUGCGUUGAGCUAACCGGUACUAAUGAACCGUGAGGCUUAACCUUACAACGCCGAAG